RNAcentral lists this long non-coding RNA (1267 nucleotides) under Equus caballus (horse). RNAcentral's name for it is "lncRNA (ENSECAG00000033440.2)". The record is from RNAcentral. Lineage: Eukaryota; Metazoa; Chordata; Mammalia; Perissodactyla; Equidae.
UUCCAAUGCAUAUUUAUUAAACUUUUUGGUACAUUUCUGGCUUCGGUUCUGGAUAUACAAAAAACCAAAAGUAUCUACCACAUUUCCUCCAGGUGGUUUAACUAUUAUUGGGAUGUAGGUCUCAAAACAUAGCUCAGAAUUGGGGGUGGGAGGGUGGGGCAAGACUUACAAAGCCAUUUUCCAAAAUCACUUGAUAGAAAUUUAGAAGAAUUAGUGUAAGUUGUGGAAAGCCCAUCUUGAGAACGGAGAAAAACUAGCAGGGAAAAAUCUACACUGCCCACUCCAGACCAACAGCAACACAUGUCCCAGGCUGGACCCCAGUCCCUUCUUUUUAAAGUCCAGAUUUUGCCCUCUCUUCUCUCUAUAGCUACAUCCCUCUGCCAGCUUUUGGAGUUCCUUUUACCCUACAAUUAUCUGUUGAGUAACAAAUCUUUGCCUAGCUCAUCCUGGACCUCUCUCCUAGGAAACUAAAAAAAGGAAGAUAGGAAAGAAGGAGAAAAAAUCAUCUCAUUUUGAUGAUUCAUUACUAUUGUGGAGAAAUAAGAAAUGGAUAAUAAAAUUAGAUAUGUAAAUGUUAUAAAAUUUCCAGAUAUCUUAUAGAGUUCUCAUUGUAAUUAUUUGUUGGUUCAUUUAUUUAUGUUUUAAGUUUCUUCUCAGCAAUACUCCCCUCUAUCUCUAGGUCCCUACCCCUUUAGCCAUUUUGACUUCCUGGAAUGAUCUUCAAGACAUGUAACAGCCUAACAACCGCCAUUUUAUGGGCAUCAGCCAAUCAAAAAAGAUGCCAGCUAUAAACAAAUGGAUGGCCGUCCUGGUAAAUGCAGUCCAGAAGAAAGUAAACCAGCAUUACAUGCCCCUCCCCUGAGUUGGGUAAUAUCCACCUCAAUGUACAUCUUCUUUUAUGAGGAAAAGAUCACUGACGAUCUUCUCAUGCUAAGGUGGUUGAGACAAGGUGAUUCAUCGUCUGUUAGUUAGCUAGAUGUCAAGUUUUCACCAAAAGACCUUCAGUUGGUGGAUGACCUAGAUGGAGUACUAAUCCUCCUCAAUAGAGAAGGAUCAGCAGUGGGAGAAUUCUUAUGUAAAAGAAAUGAUGAAAGGUCAUCCUUCUGUGAGUUGCUGAGUGGUUUUAAGGAAAACUCCAAUCUGUCUACUCUAAAGUUAAAUGAUUACAGUGAUUUUUAUAGCAAUCUUGAGAUUAAUUACCAAUGUUCUUAAAAAGGUUAUUACAUGCUUUUUGCCAAUUAUUGUGAUUACCCUGAAGAAUAAAUGC